ACGCUCGACACCUACAGGAGGCAGCAGUGGGGAAUAUUGCACAAUGGGGGAAACCCUGAUGCAGCGACGCCGCGUGAGUGAAGAAGUAUUUCGGUAUGUAAAGCUCUAUCAGCAGGGAAGAAGAUGACGGUACCUGAGUAAGAAGCCCCGGCUAACUACGUGCCAGCAGCCGCGGUAAUCUGAGCGGGCUGGCAAGGC
RNAcentral lists this ribosomal RNA (198 nucleotides) under uncultured bacterium. RNAcentral's name for it is "partial 16S ribosomal RNA". It matches the Rfam family "Bacterial small subunit ribosomal RNA", at positions 328 to 539 of the family's 1533-position model. The record is from RNAcentral.